Molecule: long non-coding RNA, 351 nt
Organism: Cygnus olor (mute swan)
Lineage: Eukaryota; Metazoa; Chordata; Aves; Anseriformes; Anatidae
Exons: 3
Source: RefSeq, a predicted model, not a curated record
UUUUGACUGACUUGUAAAGUUCAUGCAAGGUCUUUGGUGGGACUGUUAAGGAGAGAAAAAUGAGCACCCCCUGAGACAGCACCUGAGCAUUCUGAGGACACAUUGCUGGAUAGGGACACAGCUGUUUCCUGAGCCCAAUCCUCCAGACAGGGACAGCUUGCUCAGCCUGAUCAGAUACAUGCAGAGAAGAUCAGCAAAAAGGCCCUGGAAGAGGAGCAGAACAAAAGCACAGUGCUUGCUCUCAUUUAAAGAAGUCAGACAAACAUGAGAUGAGGCAUUGAGUAGAAAAUAAACUGUCCACUGAGGAAAAGAAAGAAGCUGCCCUGAUGGAGAAGGGACUGACAAGUACCA